Long non-coding RNA from Asterias rubens (European starfish), 297 nucleotides. RefSeq lists it as uncharacterized. Lineage: Eukaryota; Metazoa; Echinodermata; Asteroidea; Forcipulatida; Asteriidae. The record is from RefSeq and is a predicted model, not a curated record. The transcript has 3 exons.
UGCGUCAUGACUUACAGUAAGACAGAAAACAAAAUGGGGACAGGUUUAGUUCGCCUUACUGUUUCUCUGGAUGAACUUUCCGUCUAGGGUCAACUCAAGCAACCUACAAAGAAGGGGAAGCAAACUGGAGCAGUUCCUGUGAUGUUACUUCCAAUGAAGCUGUGAGGUACAUCCUCUGCGAUGGUUCGUCCAGGAUACCCGAGCUCAGAGAAAGAAGCGGAUAUGAAGUAGGAAGUCCACUCAAACAUCGCCAUUGGUAAGACACUUUACCUUUACAUUACGUUCCGUGAAAGAAAG